RNAcentral lists this ribosomal RNA (497 nucleotides) under uncultured bacterium. Its description in RNAcentral is "partial 16S ribosomal RNA". It matches the Rfam family "Bacterial small subunit ribosomal RNA", at positions 28 to 507 of the family's 1533-position model. The record is from RNAcentral.
GAUGAACGCUGGCGGCGUGCCUAAUACAUGCAAGUCGAGCGAACAGACGAGGAGCUUGCUCCUCUGACGUUAGCGGCGGACGGGUGAGUAACACGUGGAUAACCUACCUAUAAGACUGGGAUAACUUCGGGAAACCGGAGCUAAUACCGGAUAAUAUAUUCAACCGCAUGGUUCAAUAGUGAAAGACGGUUUUGCUGUCACUUAUAGAUGGAUCCGCGCUGCAUUAGCUAGUUGGUAAGGUAACGGCUUACCAAGGCAACGAUGCGUAGCCGACCUGAGAGGGUGAUCGGCCACACUGGAACUGAGACACGGUCCAGACUCCUACGGGAGGCAGCAGUAGGGAAUCGUCCGCAAUGGGCGAAAGCCUGACGGAGCAACGCCGCGUGAGUGAUGAAGGUCUUCGGAUCGUAAAACUCUGUUAUUAGGGAAGAACAAAUGUGUAAGUAACUAUGCACGUCUUGACGGUACCUAAUCAGAAAGCCACGGCUAACUACGUG